This 220-nucleotide long non-coding RNA is filed under the name Elaeis guineensis (African oil palm). RNAcentral describes it as "long non-coding RNA (EGUI_LNC037702)". The record is from RNAcentral. Lineage: Eukaryota; Viridiplantae; Streptophyta; Magnoliopsida; Arecales; Arecaceae.
GCAUGGAGAUGCUAGUAUGGCAUGCAGGUGAAAUGUAAGAGUACAUUUCACUGAACGUGACUAACUCCAGAGUACUCUGCUGUCAAGAGUCACUCCGAAGGGAUAUAGGUAUAAGUGUUCCUCCGAUCUGAGAUUACCAUGGUGACUUGUAAGCAACUCACUGUGCUUUGGUGCCGAACUACCUGAAUUUCUAACUCAGGAUUGGAAGAUUUUUGGACAU